CGACGCCGCGUGCGGGAUGAAGGCCCUCGGGUUGUAAACCGCUGUCACUCGUUAAGAAAGCCUGGGGUAGGCCUCCGGGCUGACGUUAGCGAGAGAGGAAGUCACGGCUAACUUCGUGCCAGCAGCCGCGGUAAGGCGAAGGUGACAACCGUUGCUCGGAAUCACUGGGCAUAAAGCGCGCGUAGGUGGCUAGGUCAGUCCAUGGUGAAACCCCUCGGCUCAACCGAGGAAGUGCCGUGGAUACUGCCUGGCUUGAGGGCGGGAGGGGUGAGUGGAACUCUCGGUGUAGCGGUGAAAUGCGUAGAUAUCGAGAGGAACGCCGGUGGCGAAAGCGACUCACUGGACCGGAUCUGACACUGAUGCGCGAAAGCUAAGGGAGCAAACAGGAUUAGAUACCCUGGUAGUCCUAGCUGUAAACGAUGGGUACUGGGUAGGGGUGGUCCAAUGCCAUCCUUGCCGGAGCAAAUGUGUUAAGUACCCCGCCUGGGGAGUAUGGUCGCAAGGCUA
This 507-nucleotide ribosomal RNA is filed under the name uncultured bacterium. RNAcentral's name for it is "bacterial SSU rRNA". It matches the Rfam family "Bacterial small subunit ribosomal RNA", at positions 392 to 896 of the family's 1533-position model. The record is from RNAcentral.